RNAcentral lists this long non-coding RNA (1520 nucleotides) under Zonotrichia albicollis (white-throated sparrow). Its description in RNAcentral is "lncRNA (ENSZALG00000018244.1)". The record is from RNAcentral. Lineage: Eukaryota; Metazoa; Chordata; Aves; Passeriformes; Passerellidae.
UUUCUGGUCUACAUCUGAAGAAUCCACAAAAGGUAAUUGAGGAGAGUAAAUCUAUUGCCAGUCAGCUUUGGUUUGCUAUAUAAGAAGCACUGCAUAUCUUCUGAAAAAUGCUUAAGACUCUUCAAGUUGAUAUAAGAUAUAUUUUGGAUCACCACAAGACUGUCCAUUUGUAGAUCAGACUGCGAAGCACCAUCUUAUUGGAGACAAGGUACCCACCCUGCUGGCAGUGUGUGAAACUGACACAUGCCACAUUCAUUCAUGGCUAUUUUAUCUCCUCCCUUGUUCUAACAUCUAUAAUGUUAUACAUCAUUUCUUUCAUAAUUUUUUGAGUGCACCAUCAGCUGUCAGUGUGGCAGGUGGCCAUCAGCCUGCAAUCCUUAGCUGCAGAGAUGGAGAGAACUUUGCAAGAGCAAGUGAACAGGAAGAAAGAACUGCUAGCAAAACCCACCAAAAAAAAAAAAGAGGACAGCAGGACUUUGUAGAGAAUACAUUAGAAAUAGGCUGGAGGUGUGUAGAAUAGGAAAAGGUAGGUAACUUGGAACAAGAUAGAGAAAUUAUUUGCUAAGAGGAACAUGCUUCUGACAACCGUCCUUAAUGUCUAAACUUCCUGUACCUGUCUGUAGCUUUCAGAUCUGCUGUCCUUACCAAAAGACAUUUGUGAACAGAGCGCUCUACAGCAAAGCUCUACAGCUGCUCAAGAUGCUAAUUCUGGGUCUUCCUGGUUAGGUGAGCUGGGCCAGUGGCCCUCCCUGAUUUUUAAAUUUUUAUAUCUGUAAAAGAAGAAUAUAAUCAGGCCUCAGGGGAUGCUUACAGGAUUCAUAGGUUAUAUGUGUAAGGGCAUUGAGCUUGAGGAGCGCUACAGAUAUAAUCAUGGACCUUAUACCCCACCUGCCCAUACAGAAAAUAAUUUUUUUAAAAAGAGAGAUAAAGUGGCAACUGCCAUCUCAAUCUAAAUAGGGAGCAUUACCAUCCACCCUGCAGCCUGAUUCCUACUCUGCCUGAACUGGAACACCCUCCAUCUUCUGGGAAUGAUUCUCACAAAGGAACACAACAUGAAGCAACCAAAGGAUGCACCUUGGAGUGAGCAGGUGUCACACAUGUCACUAAAAGCAUGUGUUACACUCCUGCAUCAUGACUGUGGUGCUCUGCUCUUCACCUCUACCUCUGGCUUCCUUCAAAAGUAAUGGUUUGAAUCUCUGAUGUUGUUCAUCAGCAUUUGUGCAGUAAUCUGCAGCAAUCUUCAAUCUUACACCUUGACUACUUACAUGAUGCUACAGCCAGUGGCACUGGUUGAUUAUUUUACAAAUGCAAAGCCAACUGCAUUUAAUAUUAUCUCUAACUGAACUGAACAUCGACCCAAAUAAUGUCACAGUCUAAGAUUAAGGAAAAAAAAGGCAGAGGAGCACCAAGGUAAAGUCACCUGCUGAAAUCAGAGGAAAAACAAAUAUUAAGGAAAGAACAGUCUUUGCUAGGCCUACGAGAUGGACAGCUCCACCUGGUAUUGCUUCUCUGUCUCCCAU